This 440-nucleotide ribosomal RNA is filed under the name uncultured bacterium. RNAcentral's name for it is "partial 16S ribosomal RNA". It matches the Rfam family "Bacterial small subunit ribosomal RNA", at positions 339 to 795 of the family's 1533-position model. The record is from RNAcentral.
CUACGGGUUGCUGCAGUAGGGAAUAUUGGACAAUGGGCGAAAGCCUGAUCCAGCAACACCGCGUGCACGAUGACGGCCUUCGGGUUGUAAAGUGCUUUUAGAGGAGAUGAGAAAGGACAGUAUCCUCUGAAUAAGCCUCGGCGAACUACGUGCCAGCAGCCGCGGUAAAACGUAGGAGGCAAGCGUUAUCCGGAUUUAUUGGGCGUAAAGCGCGUGCAGGCGGUCUAGCAAGUUGGAUGUGAAAGCUCCCGGCUCAACUGGGAGAGGUCGUUCAAUACUGUUAGACUAGAGAAUAGGAGAGGGAGGUGGAAUUCCGGGUGUAGUGGUGAGAUGCGUAGACAUCCGGAGGAACACCAGUGGCGAAAGCGGCCUCCUGGACUAUUUCUGACGCUAAGACGCGAAAGCUAGGGUAGCAAACGGGAUUAGAUACCCGAGUAGUC